UGUUUCGGCUAGGGGGCCAUCCCGGCUUACCAACCCGAUGCAAACUGCGAAUACCGGAGAAUGUUAUCACGGGAGACACACGGCGGGUGCUAACGUCCGUCGUGAAGAGGGAAACAACCCAGACCGCCAGCUAAGGUCCCAAAGUCAUGGUUAAGUGGGAAACGAUGUGGGAAGGCCCAGACAGCCAGGAUGUUGGCUUAGAAGCAGCCAUCAUUUAAAGAAAGCGUAAUAGCUCACUGGUCGAGUCGGCCUGCGCGGAAGAUGUAACGGGGCUAAACCAUGCACCGAAGCUGCGGCAGCGACGCUGAUGCGUUGUUGGGUAGGGGAGCGUUCUGUAAGCCUGCGAAGGUGGCCUGUGAGGGUUGCUGGAGGUAUCAGAAGUGCGAAUGCUGACAUAAGUAACGAUAAAGCGGGUGAAAAGCCCGCUCGCCGGAAGACCAAGGGUUCCUGUCCAACGUUAAUCGGGGCAGGGUGAGUCGACCCCUAAGGCGAGGCCGAAAGGCGUAGUCGAUGGGAAACGGGUUAAUAUUCCCGUACUUGGUGUUACUGCGAAGGGGGGACGGAGAAGGCUAUGUUGGCCGGGCGACGGUUGUCCCGGUUUAAGCGUGUAGGUGUGUGUUCCAGGUAAAUCCGGUUCACUUUAACACUGAGGCGUGACGACGAGGCACUACGGUGCUGAAGCAACAAAUGCCCUGCUUCCAGGAAAAGCCUCUAAGCAUCAGGUAACAUCAAAUCGUACCCCAAACCGACACAGGUGGUCAGGUAGAGAAUACCAAGGCGCUUGAGAGAACUCGGGUGAAGGAACUAGGCAAAAUGGUGCCGUAACUUCGGGAGAAGGCACGCUGACACGUAGGUGAAGUGAUUUACUCAUGGAGCUGAAGUCAGUCGAAGAUACCAGCUGGCUGCAACUGUUUAUUAAAAACACAGCACUGUGCAAACACGAAAGUGGACGUAUACGGUGUGACGCCUGCCCGGUGCCGGAAGGUUAAUUGAUGGGGUCAGCGCAAGCGAAGCUCCUGAUCGAAGCCCCGGUAAACGGCGGCCGUAACUAUAACGGUCCUAAGGUAGCGAAAUUCCUUGUCGGGUAAGUUCCGACCUGCACGAAUGGCGUAAUGAUGGCCAGGCUGUCUCCACCCGAGACUCAGUGAAAUUGAACUCGCUGUGAAGAUGCAGUGUACCCGCGGCAAGACGGAAAGACCCCGUGAACCUUUACUAUAGCUUGACACUGAACAUUGAGCCUUGAUGUGUAGGAUAGGUGGGAGGCUUUGAAGUGUGGACGCCAGUCUGCAUGGAGCCGACCUUGAAAUACCACCCUUUAAUGUUUGAUGUUCUAACGUGGACCCGUGAUCCGGGUUGCGGACAGUGUCUGGUGGGUAGUUUGACUGGGGCGGUCUCCUCCUAAAGAGUAACGGAGGAGCACGAAGGUUGGCUAAUCCUGGUCGGACAUCAGGAGGUUAGUGCAAUGGCAUAAGCCAGCUUGACUGCGAGCGUGACGGCGCGAGCAGGUGCGAAAGCAGGUCAUAGUGAUCCGGUGGUUCUGAAUGGAAGGGCCAUCGCUCAACGGAUAAAAGGUACUCCGGGGAUAACAGGCUGAUACCGCCCAAGAGUUCAUAUCGACGGCGGUGUUUGGCACCUCGAUGUCGGCUCAUCACAUCCUGGGGCUGAAGUAGGUCCCAAGGGUAUGGCUGUUCGCCAUUUAAAGUGGUACGCGAGCUGGGUUUAGAACGUCGUGAGACAGUUCGGUCCCUAUCUGCCGUGGGCGCUGGAGAACUGAGGGGGGCUGCUCCUAGUACGAGAGGACCGGAGUGGACGCAUCACUGGUGUUCGGGUUGUCAUGCCAAUGGCACUGCCCGGUAGCUAAAUGCGGAAGAGAUAAGUGCUGAAAGCAUCUAAGCACGAAACUUGCCCCGA
This 1911-nucleotide ribosomal RNA is filed under the name Salmonella enterica subsp. enterica serovar Agama. RNAcentral's name for it is "partial 23S ribosomal RNA". It matches the Rfam family "Bacterial large subunit ribosomal RNA", at positions 911 to 2802 of the family's 2925-position model. The record is from RNAcentral. Lineage: Bacteria; Pseudomonadati; Pseudomonadota; Gammaproteobacteria; Enterobacterales; Enterobacteriaceae.